CGGAGGGUGCAAGCGUUAUCCGGAUUCACUGGGUUUAAAGGGUGUGUAGGCGGGUAUUUAAGUCAGUGGUGAAAUCUCCGGGCUCAACCCGGAAACUGCCAUUGAUACUAUUUAUCUUGAAUUCUGUUGAGGUAGGCGGAAUAUAUCAUGUAGCGGUGAAAUGCUUAGAUAUGAUAUAGAACACCGAUUGCGAAGGCAGCUUACUAAGCAGAUAUUGACGCUGAGGCACGAAAGCGUGGGGAUCAAACAGGAUUAGAUACCCUGGUAGUCCACGCCCUAAACGAUGAUUACUCGACAUACGCGAUAUUACUGUGUGUGUCUGAGCGAAAGCAUUAAGUAAUCCACCUGGGAAUACGUCCGCAAGGAUG
Molecule: ribosomal RNA, 368 nt
Filed under: uncultured organism
Description: bacterial SSU rRNA
Rfam family: Bacterial small subunit ribosomal RNA
Source: RNAcentral